Molecule: long non-coding RNA, 1092 nt
Organism: Eptesicus fuscus (big brown bat)
Lineage: Eukaryota; Metazoa; Chordata; Mammalia; Chiroptera; Vespertilionidae
Exons: 3
Source: RefSeq, a predicted model, not a curated record
UCUAUUUUCCCACUGCCCCUAGCCCACCCUCUCCCCCUCCUCCUCCUCCUGCCUCUUCCCCUUCCCCCUCAUCUGGUUUCCCCCGCUGCCUUCUGCCGGACCCCACUCUGGGCCCUUGGCCUGGCUCUCCUCCGGCUCACGCAUUUCGCCCAGGCAGGCUCCCAUCUCUCACCAGAGGGGCCCCUCCUCACUUGGGAACCCGCAAGACCUGCUGCCUCUAUAGGCCCCCUCGGGUCCCCUGCUCCCCCUGCCCGGCCAGUCCCCCUACCCCUCCUGUCCGCCAUGUCCGCCUGUCCUCCCUCUCCACUCUUCACUCUUCCUUUGCCCCGAACCCCCCUUCUGGCCCUUCUCUGGCCUCCGGCCACUUGGGCAAACGGCUCUCCCGCCCCUACUCCCCUCCUACCCAGUCACCACCUCCCCCCAUCUCUCCUCUGUUGGGCCGGCCUGUAAACUGUCCCUGGGACUUGGAGCCCCUGCCAGUGGGGACCCGGACCUCUCAAAGCUUCAGGAGUCGGGCACCUGCUGAGCCCAGGGAGCAGAACAUGGUGGGCAGCAGCUGCAGGGAAUCCCGGGGGGUCCACAAGCGCUCCAAGAAGCCCCGAUUUCCCCAGCCCCAGGGCAGCCAGGGCUACUCCCGCUUCCCACCGGUGGCAGAAGCAAGGAAAGGCCCGGCUGGGCCAGAUAGCUCGAGAUUGGGCCACCGAAAAUCAGCACCUCACCCUAAGAAGGCGUCUCAAUCUUGAUAACUGCCUUCCUGCUUCGGGUGAAGUCAUGCUCUGAAGACACCCUGAGGCCAGUGCCCCUUCUCCAGAAUGCACAGCGUUCGCAGGCCGGGGAGCACCAUCCCUCAUGCCCAUGGCCUGAAGUUUGCAAUGAUAAGUGAAUGCAGUCUGCCAGGAAACCCCAACCAUGAGCGCUGAGUUCUACGCCAAGAGCAGGUGGUGAGAUGGCAGGGCUGGAGGACCUCGUCCGCAAGACCCUUCCUCUCUCUGUCCAUCUGCUUUCGGGGUAGGUUCUACCCUGAGUGGAACCUGUCUGGGCCCUGGUCCAGGCACUGGCCAAAAGCCAAGUAAUAAACUGCUCCCAGAGGCU